Molecule: long non-coding RNA, 96 nt
Organism: Humulus lupulus (European hop)
Lineage: Eukaryota; Viridiplantae; Streptophyta; Magnoliopsida; Rosales; Cannabaceae
Exons: 2
Source: RefSeq, a predicted model, not a curated record
GCUAUACAGCAGAACCUCAAUUUUAUUCUCAGUACUGCUCCAAUUUGGGAUAGGGUGGAGCUCAAAGGUAAUAAAUAUGUACUUGGAGAAUUUCUG